Long non-coding RNA from Oncorhynchus tshawytscha (Chinook salmon), 1006 nucleotides. Lineage: Eukaryota; Metazoa; Chordata; Actinopteri; Salmoniformes; Salmonidae. The record is from Ensembl.
GUACAGUAGUAAUAAUAAUAACAAUAAUAAAUAAAAAAUGUGUACUCUGGGUGAAAAAUACAAAUAUAUAAGUCAAGAUGAGUGCAGAGGAAAGAGGGUAAACUAGAUCCCAACUCUCUCAGCCCAUAUACGGUUCGAGGUCUCGAAGGGAAAUGCGCGUCGAUCAUAUAGAGGAGACUCGUCGGAUCCCUCAUAAAAUAAAAUCAGCAGCCUCCACAGACACCACACCAGCGUCCUCCACCUCCACAACCACCAGACCAGCAGGUGCAGCCUCCACAGACACCACACCAGCGUCCUCCACCUCCACAGACACCACACCAGCGUCAUCCACCUCCACAGACACCACACCAGCUACUGAUAUAAACAAAUACCAUCAAUGCCUCCAUGUUCCAUCUGGUGCGGAAUUUUAACAGGCAGUCAACUGAGCAGCUUUCUACAUUGACACCUUUAAAAUUACUGGCAUUUGGGGGAGCAAGAAAUCAAAACUUAAGAUAGAUCCAAUGAUGUACAAGUACAUUAUUGGCAUCAUCAAUGAACACAACCUCUGGACUGUGCCGGUUGUGCUGCCAUCCCAGAAGAGGGCUCUGUUCCUCGACCCAAUGGGGGAAAGGGCCAGAAAGAUUCAAAGAUGCCAGGGGAUGACAAUAUCAUUCCUGAGAGAGAAGGGGUGUAAUAUCUCCUGAUGGGCGUGUGGUACCCUUCCUCACCCAUGUGGACAAGAUAUUACUUCUUGUGGGGUCUUUGCCUUGACAUUGGCUGAAUGUGUUCUGAAGGGGGAGUUGAUUGUCUUUUCAAAUACGGACAAAGAUGUUUAACAUCAUGAGAGAAGAAAUAGCAGUCACUCUCCUCCAAAACACUGAUGACAUGAGCCAAUUGUGCCACUUCUGUGGGGAGGUGGACAAUAAUGAGGAAGACACUAACUGGAUUGGUUGUAACCGCUGCCCACGUUGGUUCCACCAGUCCUGUAUGAAAACCAUCUCAUCAUUGGAGGAUUAUGUGUGCGCUG